RNAcentral lists this long non-coding RNA (1302 nucleotides) under Callithrix jacchus (white-tufted-ear marmoset). RNAcentral's name for it is "lncRNA (ENSCJAG00000080293.1)". Lineage: Eukaryota; Metazoa; Chordata; Mammalia; Primates; Cebidae. The record is from RNAcentral.
UGCUGAAGUUGCUUAUCAGUUUCAGGAGUUUUUGGGCUGAGGCAAUGGGAUCUUCUAGGUAUACUAUCAUGUCGUCUGCAAAUAGAGACAAUUUGGCUUCCACCUUUACUAUUUGAAUACCCUUUAUUUCUUUUUCUUGCCUGAUUGCUCUUGCUAGAACUUCCAGUACUAUAUUGAAUAGGAGUGGUGAGAGAGGGCAUCCUUGUCUAGUGCCAGAUUUCAAAGGGAAUGCUUCCAGUUUUUGCCCAUUCAGUAUGAUAUUGGCUGUUGGUUUGUCAUAAAUAGCUUUUAUUACUUUGAGAUACGUUCCAUUGAUACCGAGUUUAUUGAGGGUUUUUAGCAUAAAGGGCUGUUGAAUUUUGUCAAAUGCCUUCUCUGCGUCAAUUGAGAUAAUCAUGUGGUUUUUGUUUUUGGUUCUGUUUAUGUGGUGAAUUACGUUGAUAGACUUGCGUGUGUUGAACCAGCCUUGCAUCCCCGGGAUGAAUCCUACUUGAUCAUGAUGAAUAAGUUUUUUGAUUUGCUGUUGCAAUCGGCUUGCCAAUAUUUUAUUGAAGAUUUUUGUGUCUAUGUUCAUCAUGAUAUUGGCCUGAAGUUUUCUUUUCUCAUUGGGUCUCUGCCGGGUUUUGGUAUCAGGAUGAUAUUGGCCUGAAGUUUUCUUUUCUCGUUGGGUCUCUGCCGGGUUUUGGUAUCAGGAUGAUGUUGGUCUCAUAAAAUGAUUUGGGAAGGAUUCCCUCUUUUUGGAUUGUUUGAAAUAGUUUUAGAAGGAAUGGUACCAGCUCCUCCUUGUGUGUCUGGUAGAAUUCGGCUGUGAACCCAUCUGGACCUGGGCUUUUUUUGUGAGGUAGGCUCUUAAUUGCUGCCUCAACUUCAGACCUUGUUAUUGGUCUAUUCAUAGUUUCAGCUUCCUCCUGGUUUAGGCUUGGGAGGACACAGGAGUCCAGGAAUUUAUCCAUUUCUUCCAGGUUUACUAGUUUAUGUGCAUAGAGUUGUUUGUAAUAUUCUCUGAUGAUGGUUUGAAUUUCUGUGGAAUCUGUGGUGAUUUCCCCUUUAUCAUUUUUUAUUGCAUCUAUUUGGUUGUUCUCUCUUUUAUUUUUAAUCAAUCUGGCUAGUGGUCUGUCUAUUUUGUUGAUCUUUUCAAAAAACCAGCUCUUGGAUUUAUUGAUUUUUUGAAGGGUUUUUCGUGUCUCAAUCUCCUUCAGCUCAGCUCUGAUCUUAGUAAUUUCUUGUCUUCUGCUGGGUUUUGAGUUUUUUUGAUCUUGCUCCUCUAGCUCUUUCAAUUUUGACGAUAGGGUGUCAAUUUUG